RNAcentral lists this ribosomal RNA (347 nucleotides) under uncultured eukaryote. RNAcentral's name for it is "SSU rRNA". It matches the Rfam family "Eukaryotic small subunit ribosomal RNA", at positions 594 to 945 of the family's 1831-position model. The record is from RNAcentral.
AUAGCGUAUAUUAAAGUUGUUGCAGUUAAAAAGCUCGUAGUUGAACUUCAGACCUGGCUGGGCGGUCUGCUUAACGGCAUGUACUGUCUGGCUGGGCCUUACCUCUUGGUGAGCCGGCAUGCCCUUUAUUGGUGUGCGUCGGGGAACCAGGACUUUUACCUUGAGAAAAUUAGAGUGUUCAAAGCAGGCCUGUGCCUGAAUACAUUAGCAUGGAAUAAUAAAAUAGGACGUGCGGUUCUAUUUUGUUGGUUUCUAGAGUCGCCGUAAUGAUUAAUAGGGAUAGUUGGGGGCAUUGGUAUUGAGUCGCUAGAGGUGAAAUUCUUGGAUUGACUCAAGACCGACUACUG